AUUGACUUGAGGGAAGGCAAUAGGAGUUUUCUUAUAUAUAUAAAAAUUUAUAAUUCUAGGGCAGGAAUUUUCCUGAAAACUUUUUAAAAAAUUGAGAUAUAAUAUAAAUCCAAGUGCACAAAUCAUAGGGGCAUAGCUCCAUGACUUUUUACAAAGUAAAUAUCCAUGCAACCACCACUUAAAUCAAGCUGUAGAUAAUUGCCAGCAGCCCACAAUCCUCCUUCGUUUUAGGCAGGAAUUUUUUGACAGAUAUUAUGAUUCAGUGUUCUUCUUUGCGUAUGCCUCUGUUCUGGAUGGUUGCACCUCUGAAUAAUAAGUUAAUAUUAUUCACUCACUUUAAGAGUCUUAUUUUUCAACUGUACGCUAUACCUCUGAGGCACACAGGCAAUGGAACCAUGGCGGGGCCCUCCCUCCGUUUUGGGACGGGUACUGCACUGAGGUGGGGGUGGGGGGAGUGCAGGGUAGGUGGGCCUGAUGAACUCAGCACUCCCAGCGCUGGCAUGACUCAAACCUCUACACUGACUGAGCCCUGUUUGCAGAUUUGUGCGUCUCCCGAAGCUGGUUUCUGGCCACGCUGUUUCCUAGCCUCCAAACACCUCUGAAAGCAGCUGGUCUUCCUGUGUGGGCACCAUGUCGCCUGCGCCUGCCCUGAGACUGUAUUCCUUUCAUGCUCACUCUGUCCCUCUGAUCUACUAAAAAUGUCCUUCUGCAGACUUCUGAUGAAAACGAAAUUAAACCUGGGGAUUAGGGCAGGGGAGGCUGGGGCCAGAGCAAGAAUGUGUUGCCUGAGGCCUUGGCUGGGCUGUCUUCCAGCGACUUUGGAGAGGUAGCCCCAGGAAAGGACUGGCUGAUGAGCUCUGAGCAAACCCCAGCUCCCAGGGCAGCGGGGCCGGACAUCGGACUGCAUUUUGAAGAUCAGCUACCAGAGCUGCAGGAACUGGGAGGCAGAGGAGCUAAGGAGGCCUCAGGGAGGCUUGAAUCACCUGUCCCCUUCUGUAAUUAAUGGUUUUGAUGCUUUUUUCUCAUUUUUGUUUUAAUCUGAUGAUUCAGCGGUGAAACUAGGAGGCCCUGGCAAAUUCAAGUGUGUCCUAAGGAAACCGUAUCUAUGAAAGGGUUAACUUUAUGCAGAAGUCAAACCUCGAUCCAUGAAGAUUAGCUCUGGAGAAGGAAUCAUUAUGUGCGAGGGGCCACAGGUGAAGUACUAUACACCUGGCCAUACUUAGGGUUUUCUUGCUUUGAGAUCUCCCAGACAUUGGUCUACUUGGCUGGCUUGCUCUGUGUUUCUUAUUUGGCCCCAAAUGUUCAAUUGCCUUUGCUGGAACUCCUACCUCCUUACAGGCAAGAUGAAACUUUGGCAAGGCUUUACAAAAUACCGAAAGAGAAUGAGACUGAAAGAAGCCUGGGAAAUAUAGGCAUGUUUUUAAUGUCCUGGCACCAUUCUGUAUGGGUACCUGAUGCUGCCUUAACCUGCCUGAGGCUGCAGCUUCUAGCCUCUAGUACCAAGUCCUUGCAAACCUCAGACGGCCCUUUGCCUGGUAUUCUGAUUUUUUAGAUCUCAGUCUGCGUCAGCACGGGUAGAGGGGAUCUGCUGACCUUCCCAGCCGAGUGGUGAAGAACCCACCUGCCAAUGUGGAAGAUCCAGGUUUGAUCCCUGGGUCGGGAAGUUCCCCUGGAGAAGGACAUGACAACACACUCCAGUGUUCUUGCCUGAUGAAUCCCAUGGACAGAGGAGCCUGCUGAGCUACAGUCCAUGGGGUUGCAAAGACUCAGACACAGCUGAGUGACUGAGAAUGCAUGCAAGCACAGAGAAUGAAACACUCGCCUUUUAUUAACCUCUGCUACGUGCCAGGCAGUUUGUAAAGAUGUUUGCAUGCAUCAUUUCUUUUCCUCUUUUCAACUCUUCUAUAUGAUGUGCAUUAUUAAGCCCAUUUUUCAGGUGAAGAAACUGAGGCUCAAACAGAUUGACUAGCUCGAGGCCACACAACCUAGUAAGUGGUGGAGUCAAGACUCACAUGCUGGUUUUGUAAUGCAUGAUCCAAGACCUCUUUCUUAAUCAAGGUAAUGCUUUCAUGAUCAAAUCUGAGAGAAGACUGUUCUAUUGUCUCACCAGACUUUUCUCCUCAGCUCCAAUCUCUAGACUGAGCACUCUUCUCCUGGUAAUUGCCCCAUGAAGGACAUGGACCUGUCACAGGUAUGUCGUUUUGCAUUUAGAUGCCAGCAGUAUAGACCCAUUACUAUGUAUUAUCAUACCCCAGCAUUCAUAAAGGAACUGCACCAAUUAGCUAAUCAGGGGCCACUACACCAUUGAAUGAUUUUAUGUUUUACAAAAGGCUUCAGCAUUAGAUUCUUUUAUCUAGCGAAC
RNAcentral lists this long non-coding RNA (2362 nucleotides) under Ovis aries (sheep). RNAcentral describes it as "lncRNA (ENSOARG00000025467.1)". The record is from RNAcentral. Lineage: Eukaryota; Metazoa; Chordata; Mammalia; Artiodactyla; Bovidae.